Molecule: unclassified non-coding RNA, 314 nt
Filed under: Suillus sp.
Lineage: Eukaryota; Fungi; Basidiomycota; Agaricomycetes; Boletales; Suillaceae
Description: partial contains 5.8S ribosomal RNA, internal transcribed spacer 2, and large subunit ribosomal RNA
Source: RNAcentral
AACGCACCUUGCGCCCUUUGGCUAUUCCGAAGGGCAUGCCUGUUUGAGUAUCAUGAACACCUCAACUCUCAUGGUUUGCCAUGAUGAGCUUGGACUUUGGGGGUCUUGCUGGCCUAUUGUCAGCUCCUCUAAAAUGAAUCAGCUUGCCAGUGUUUGGUGGCAUCACAGGUGUGAUAACUAUCUACACUUGUGGAUUUCCAUCAGAUGACCUUCAGCGAUGAAGGUUCGCUGGGGCUCAUAAAUGUCUCUCCCAGCGGAGAUGGCUCUUUUGAAUGUUUGAUCUCAAAUCAGGUAGGACUACCCGCUGAACUUAA